CGCCUCUUGCUAACAAAGGAAGUACUAGAGGUCCCGCCUGCCCUGUGACCACAAAGUUUAACGGCCGCGGUAUCCUGACCGUGCGAAGGUAGCGUAAUCAUUUGUCUUUUAAAUAGAGACCUGUAUGAAUGGCAUAACGAGGGUUUAACUGUCUCCUUCCCCUAGUCAAUGAAAUUGAUCUGCCCGUGCAGAAGCGGACAUAAACACAUAAGACGAGAAGACCCUAUGGAGCUUUAGACAAAAGAUCAAACAUGUAAAGAAACCAAACCAACCAAAAGGAACACGAAGGCCACAAAACCCAACGUAAACUGAUCUAAAUGUCUUCGGUUGGGGCGACCAUGGGGGAAAGAAAAGCCCCCACGAGGAACAGGGACAACCCC
This 380-nucleotide ribosomal RNA is filed under the name Anguilla anguilla (European eel). Its description in RNAcentral is "partial large subunit ribosomal RNA". It matches the Rfam family "Bacterial large subunit ribosomal RNA", at positions 1816 to 2326 of the family's 2925-position model. Lineage: Eukaryota; Metazoa; Chordata; Actinopteri; Anguilliformes; Anguillidae. The record is from RNAcentral.